This 1491-nucleotide ribosomal RNA is filed under the name metagenome. RNAcentral's name for it is "bacterial SSU rRNA". It matches the Rfam family "Bacterial small subunit ribosomal RNA". The record is from RNAcentral.
AGAGUUUGAUCCUGGCUCAGAACGAACGCUGGCGGCGUGCCUAACACAUGCAAGUCGCACGUGAAAGUCCUUCGGGGCGAGUAAAGUGCGCACGGGUGAGUAAUGCAUAGGAACGUACCUUUUGGUGGGGAAUAACCACGGGAAACCGUGGCUAAUACCGCAUAAUCUGGAAACAGUAAAGAUGGCCUCUAUUUAUAAGCUAUCGCCAACUGAGCGGCCUAUGUCCCAUUAGCUAGUUGGCAGGGUAAAAGCCUACCAAGGCAACGAUGGGUAGCUGGUCUGAGAGGACGAUCAGCCACACUGGAACUGAGACACGGUCCAGACUCCUACGGGAGGCAGCAGUGGGGAAUAUUGCACAAUGGGCGCAAGCCUGAUGCAGCAACGCCGCGUGAGUGAAGAAGGCCUUUGGGUCGUAAAGCUCUUUCGGCCGAGAAGAAGGGUGAUACGGUGAAUAAUCGUGUCAUUUGACUGUACCGGAAGAAGAAGCACCGGCUAACUACGUGCCAGCAGCCGCGGUAAUACGUAGGGUGCAAGCGUUGUUCGGAAUCACUGGGCGUAAAGGGCGCGUAGGCGGGUUUGCAAGUCGAUUGUGAAAUCCCAGGGCUUAACCCUGGAGCUGCAGUCGAAACUGCAAGUCUUGAAUGUCUGAGAGGGUGGGAGAAUUCCUGGUGUAGUAGUGAAAUACGUAGAUAUCAGGAGGAAUACCGGCGGCGAAGGCGCCUACCUGGCAGUACAUUGACGCUGAGGCGCGAAAGCGUGGGGAGCAAACAGGAUUAGAUACCCUGGUAGUCCACGCCUUAAACCAUGGAUACUAGGCGUUCGGAGUGUUAACCCUCUGAGUGCCGCAGCUUACGCAAUAAGUAUCCCGCCUGGGAAGUACGGUCGCAAGGCUAAAACUCAAAGGAAUUGACGGGGGCCCGCACAAGCGGUGGAGUAUGUGGUUCAAUUCGAAACCACGCGCAGAACCUUACCUGGGUUUGACAUCCCACGAUCGGUGCAGAGAUGUACUUUUCCCUUCGGGGACGUGGAGACAGGUGCUGCAUGGCUGUCGUCAGCUCGUGUUGUGAAAUGUUGGGUUAAGUCCCGCAACGAGCGCAACCCCUAUCCUUAGUUGCCAUCAUUAAGUUGGGCACUCUGGGGAGACUGCCGGUGUUAAACCGGAGGAAGGCGGGGAUGACGUCAAGUCCUCAUGGCCCUUACAUCCAGGGCUACACACGUACUACAAUGGCAGAGACAAACCGACGCAAAAUCGCGAGAUGGAGCAAAUCGGAAAAACACUGUCCCAGUCCGGAUUGGAGUCUGCAACUCGACUCCAUGAAGUUGGAAUCGCUAGUAAUCGUAGAUCAGCACGCUACGGUGAAUACGUUCCCGGGCCUUGUACACACCGCCCGUCACACCACGAAAGUGGUCAUCACCAGAAGCGCAUGAGCUAACUUCGGAAGCAGUGCACCAAGGUGAUGGCCGUGAUUGGGGUGAAGUCGUAACAAGGUA